This 732-nucleotide ribosomal RNA is filed under the name Klebsiella sp. RNAcentral's name for it is "bacterial SSU rRNA". It matches the Rfam family "Bacterial small subunit ribosomal RNA", at positions 20 to 743 of the family's 1533-position model. Lineage: Bacteria; Pseudomonadati; Pseudomonadota; Gammaproteobacteria; Enterobacterales; Enterobacteriaceae. The record is from RNAcentral.
UGGCUCAGAUUGAACGCUGGCGGCAGGCCUAACACAUGCAAGUCGAGCGGUAGCACAGAGAGCUUGCUCUCGGGUGACGAGCGGCGGACGGGUGAGUAAUGUCUGGGAAACUGCCUGAUGGAGGGGGAUAACUACUGGAAACGGUAGCUAAUACCGCAUAACGUCGCAAGACCAAAGUGGGGGACCUUCGGGCCUCAUGCCAUCAGAUGUGCCCAGAUGGGAUUAGCUAGUAGGUGGGGUAACGGCUCACCUAGGCGACGAUCCCUAGCUGGUCUGAGAGGAUGACCAGCCACACUGGAACUGAGACACGGUCCAGACUCCUACGGGAGGCAGCAGUGGGGAAUAUUGCACAAUGGGCGCAAGCCUGAUGCAGCCAUGCCGCGUGUGUGAAGAAGGCCUUCGGGUUGUAAAGCACUUUCAGCGGGGAGGAAGGCGAUAAGGUUAAUAACCUUGUCGAUUGACGUUACCCGCAGAAGAAGCACCGGCUAACUCCGUGCCAGCAGCCGCGGUAAUACGGAGGGUGCAAGCGUUAAUCGGAAUUACUGGGCGUAAAGCGCACGCAGGCGGUCUGUCAAGUCGGAUGUGAAAUCCCCGGGCUCAACCUGGGAACUGCAUUCGAAACUGGCAGGCUAGAGUCUUGUAGAGGGGGGUAGAAUUCCAGGUGUAGCGGUGAAAUGCGUAGAGAUCUGGAGGAAUACCGGUGGCGAAGGCGGCCCCCUGGACAAAGACUGA